UCGUUAAAAUUUUAUUUAUUUGUACGGUUAAAAAUUGAUUUGACUAAUAAAAUAAUCAAAUAGUAACAUGUGACAUGCCAUAUGUACCUCAUGUUAAUGUGUAGAGAUCAAUUUUUAACAAUAAAAAUAGAUGAACUUCUUAAGA
This 145-nucleotide microRNA precursor is filed under the name Gossypium arboreum. Its description in RNAcentral is "MIR7502 microRNA precursor family". It matches the Rfam family "MIR7502 microRNA precursor family". Lineage: Eukaryota; Viridiplantae; Streptophyta; Magnoliopsida; Malvales; Malvaceae. The record is from Rfam by way of RNAcentral.